AUUGAACGCUGGCGGCAGGCCUAACACAUGCAAGCCGAACGGUAGCACAGAGAGCUUGCUCUCGGGUGACGAGUGGCGGACGGGUGAGUAAUGUCUGGGAAACUGCCCGAUGGAGGGGGAUAACUACUGGAAACGGUAGCUAAUACUGCAUAACGUCGCAAGACCAAAGUGGGGGACCUUCGGGCCUCACACCAUCGGAUGUGCCCAGAUGGGAUUAGCUAGUAGGUGGGGUAAUGGCUCACCUAGGCGACGAUCCCUAGCUGGUCUGAGAGGAUGACCAGCCACACUGGAACUGAGACACGGUCCAGACUCCUACGGGAGGCAGCAGUGGGGAAUAUUGCACAAUGGGCGCAAGCCUGAUGCAGCCAUGCCGCGUGUAUGAAGAAGGCCUUCGGGUUGUAAAGUACUUUCAGCGGGGAGGAAGGCGGUGAAGUUAAUAACUUCACCGAUUGACGUUACCCGCAGAAGAAGCACCGGCUAACUCCGUGCCAGCAGCCGCCGUAA
Molecule: ribosomal RNA, 504 nt
Filed under: uncultured bacterium
Lineage: Bacteria
Description: partial 16S ribosomal RNA
Rfam family: Bacterial small subunit ribosomal RNA
Source: RNAcentral